GACAGAGGGUGCAAACGUUGUUCGGAAUUACUGGGCGUAAAGAGCGCGCAGGCGGUCGUUCAAGUCGAGUGUGAAAGCCCCCGGCUCAACUGGGGAGGGUCAUUCGAUACUGAUCGACUCGAAGGCAGGAGAGGGUAGUGGAAUUCCCGGUGUAGUGGUGAAAUGCGUAGAUAUCGGGAGGAACACCAGUGGCGAAGGCGACUACCUGGCCUGUUCUUGACGCUGAGGCGCGAAAGCUAGGGGAGCAAACGGG
RNAcentral lists this ribosomal RNA (253 nucleotides) under uncultured bacterium. Its description in RNAcentral is "partial 16S ribosomal RNA". It matches the Rfam family "Bacterial small subunit ribosomal RNA", at positions 524 to 776 of the family's 1533-position model. The record is from RNAcentral.